CACGUAUGGGGCAAGCGUUGUUCGGAAUUAUUGGGCGUAAAGGGUAUGCAGGCGGCUUAACAAGUCUGGUGUGUAAGACCUCAGCUUAACUGGGGGAGCGCGCUGGAAACUGUUUGGCUAGAGUACAGGAAGGGGAGCUGGAAUUCCUAGUGUAGGGGUGAAAUCUGUAGAUAUUAGGAAGAACAUCAGUGGCGAAGGCGAGCUUCUGGCCAUGUACUGACGCUGAGAUACGAAAGCGUGGGGAGCGAACAGG
This 253-nucleotide ribosomal RNA is filed under the name uncultured bacterium. RNAcentral's name for it is "partial 16S ribosomal RNA". It matches the Rfam family "Bacterial small subunit ribosomal RNA", at positions 524 to 776 of the family's 1533-position model. The record is from RNAcentral.